GUGCUCACUUCGACAGCACAUAGUAUACUAAAACUGGAACGAUACAGAGAUUACCAUGGCCCCUGCACAAGAAUGAUAAGCAAAUUUGUGAAGCGUUCCAUAUUUAA
Molecule: small nuclear RNA, 107 nt
Organism: Saimiri boliviensis boliviensis (Bolivian squirrel monkey)
Lineage: Eukaryota; Metazoa; Chordata; Mammalia; Primates; Cebidae
Source: Ensembl